Molecule: unclassified non-coding RNA, 287 nt
Filed under: uncultured fungus
Lineage: Eukaryota; Fungi
Description: partial contains 5.8S rRNA and ITS2
Source: RNAcentral
AACGCAACUGGCACCGGUUUACCGGCAUGACUGUUUCAGUGUGCUAGGAGAGUAAACUAUCAUUAUAAAAUAUAAUGCGAUUGAGGUACAUUUAUGUUCUUCUUUCGUUAAAUAUGAAGGUGUGAAAGAUGAGUAAUCUCUCACACUGGCAAACGAAGUAGUCAUGCUUGUUCGUGAUCUCGUUUAACCAUUGCUAAAGGUUUUUGCUUAGCUAUAAAUCACAUCUAAUCAAUUAAAUAUCUCCAAAUUUGUCAUAUGAAAUCAUUCAAGGAUACCCGCUGCAUUUA